RNAcentral lists this ribosomal RNA (275 nucleotides) under uncultured bacterium. RNAcentral's name for it is "partial 16S ribosomal RNA". It matches the Rfam family "Bacterial small subunit ribosomal RNA", at positions 338 to 610 of the family's 1533-position model. The record is from RNAcentral.
CCUACGGGCGGCUGCAGUAAGGAAUAUUGGGCAAUGGAGGCAACUCUGACCCAGCCAUGCCGCGUGAAGGAUGAAGGCCCUAUGGGUUGUAAACUUCUUUUGUAUGGGAAUAAACCCAGUUACGUGUAACUGGCUGAAUGUACCAUAAGAAUAAGCACCGGCUAACUCCGUGCCAGCAGCCGCGGUAAUACGGAGGGUGCAAGCGUUAUCCGGAUUUAUUGGGUUUAAAGGGUGCGUAGGCGGGAUUGUAAGUCAGUGGUGAAAUCCUUCAGCUC